UAUCGGAGUGAGGCCAGGAAAGGUGAGCCUGGGAGCUGUCGGGAGCCAUGUUACCAGUUCACAGAGGAUGCAGGGAGGAGCAGAGCCCAGCUAGGCAGAGUCCCUGAUUCCGGCUUUUCUCUGUGGUCCCUCACAGCCCAAGGUGGGGUCCCAACACCCCUGGGGCACAGCCACAUUAGUGGCUUUGCUGCCACAUGCCAUGGCCUGCUGAUCCCCUCCUUCAUUCCCUCCCAGCUAAGUCUACAUUUUAUCUGAGAGUCUACUCCUCUCACUUCGGUCCUGGCAUCCCUCUCUGUCUUAAGGCCAGUUUCAGCAGAUUUCUGCCCUUUUCAAACAAAAUGCCCUUUGAAUAUAAGGUUGCAGAGAAAUUUUAAGAACCACAAUUGCUGAAUGAGCUGCCAGGCCUCCCUCUCCCAAACUGAAACCACAUGUCUGUGUCUGUGUCUAGACCUAGAGCUAGAAGGUCUGUCAUCUCUUUCCUUCAGCACAUCUGCUCCACUCUCCUCCAUCCAAGCCUCUCCCUCCCUUACUCUCAACACGCACUUAGCAGAGCUUGACGCCCCAGAGCGCAGCCCCUGCCGGGAGCCAGCACACCUUGCAUUUCAGUUCCCUGCAACUAACCUCAUCUCCGUGCCCUGAUUUCAAAUUCCCAUGAGACACACUCUGAUUGGCCGGGUCUGAGUCAGGUGACUUCGGCCUGGCCAAUCAACGGGGGCUGGGGGCGGCCGCCACGGAGAACUAGCCGCCCCUUCCUGGCGCGGGAGCGGCGGUGGCGGGGCUGGUCGAGCGCAGGGGGUGGUGACCGCCGCCGGCGCCCAGAGCGGGGCCAGGGACGCCGCGUGCUGGGCCCCAGGCCCGUGGACAGCAUCGCCGGAACUCCGGGCACGAGGGAGGCUACCUGUGAUAAAGGCGCUGCUCUGCUGCCCGUCUCCGCACUCCGCCAGCGCCUCUUGUCAGUUUUAUAUCGCAGGGGACGCUACCCUGCUCGCAGGCUGCCCGACUGCAGACAUAAAACCAAAUGGUUCAGAAAGCUCUGGCGAAGGGACGGGAACAACGUGGUGCCCAGACUGGGGGAGAGCAGCUCUGUCCAGGGCCUUACAGUCGACUGGCGCAAGGACUAGGUUGCAGGGCUUAGAAUCCACUAGUGUGACUUUGGUCAAGGCUCUCUACCUUCCUGGACCACAGGUUUUGCAGCUAUGAAAUGGGCAUAAUGUUGCAGCACUGCUUCUUUGGGACUCUGGGUAAUCCUUGCCUCUUAAAGCCCCUUAAGCUUCACAGGAGAAUCCAACCUCAGUGGGAAAUGGGGUUCCUGCUCCGGCUGUCAGCUGCAUAAGCCAGCUAGGCCACAGGGGUAGGGAGCUGGGGACCUCUGCCUCGUCCCAAGCCCAGCCAAGUCAGCCCCUUGGAGAAUUUGGGCUUCUUGCCAACAUGCAUAAUUAUGAGGUGUCAUGCACAUCCAUGGCUAUUCCCAUUCUAGACUGAGCUCUCACCUCCUCCUUGCAGGGACCGCCUGUGCUGUAGGACCCCCACUGUGAGCCCUACUCCUGGGCCUCAGUCUCUUCUGUUACCGGCAUCCCACCAACACUGCCCCCACCUGAUGCCAGCCCACACUGGGAGCUGAAGGGCGACUGACUCCUUUCCUCCUCUGGCCAUUCCUACAGCCCUUCUCCAGGCGGGAAGGGACACUUGUGUCAACUGGGCUAGCCCUACCACACUUCUCUCUACCACAUGCCCAAGGCCCAGGUUGGAUGCUAAGAGGGACCAGGCUGAGUCUAGGUCACAAGCAAGUACAAUGACUGCAUACCUCCUUAUCUGCCACCUACUCCCUGAAUAAAGCCUUCACUAGCCUGGAAGGACAUCUAGGGGACACUGCAGCCCAAGGGUGGUGACAGGGGUUAGGGGGCUACAUCUCAGCCUCUCAGAUCACUGUCCAGGAAGGCUCAGAGGCCAUCUUCUCUGGGAGCAGGGUUCUGGGGCACCCACAUGGCCGCUCACACCCAUGCACUCCUGGCGCCUGCUUUUGCUCAAUAAAGACGCAUUAAUGGA
Molecule: non-coding RNA, 2046 nt
Organism: Microcebus murinus (gray mouse lemur)
Lineage: Eukaryota; Metazoa; Chordata; Mammalia; Primates; Cheirogaleidae
Source: RefSeq, a predicted model, not a curated record